UCAGUUUAAGUGAAUAGAAAUCUAUGAAAUUUUGACACAAGGUUUAUGACCACAAAAGGAAGGUUGGGAUUGAUUUUGGGAGUUUUGGUUCCAACAGUUUAGGAAUUAAGGGCCAAAAAAGGGCCCAAAUAAGCAUUAUUCUUGGUUUUCGCACAAUAACUUUAGUAUAUAAGUAAAUAGAAAUCAAUGAAAUUUCAACACAAGGUUUAUGACCACAAAAGGAAGGUUGGGAUUGAUUUUGGGAGUUUUGGUUCCAACAUUUUAGGAAUUAGGGGCCAAAAAGGGCCCAAAUAAGCAUUUUCUUGGUUUUCGCACUAUAACUUCAGUUUAAGUGAAUAGAAAUCUAUGAAAUUUUGACACAAGGUUUAUGACCACAAAAGGAAGGUUGGGAUUGAUUUUGGGAGUUUUGGUUCCAACAGUU
This 421-nucleotide long non-coding RNA is filed under the name Mytilus galloprovincialis (Mediterranean mussel). Lineage: Eukaryota; Metazoa; Mollusca; Bivalvia; Mytilida; Mytilidae. The record is from RNAcentral.